Molecule: ribosomal RNA, 471 nt
Filed under: uncultured bacterium
Lineage: Bacteria
Description: bacterial SSU rRNA
Rfam family: Bacterial small subunit ribosomal RNA
Source: RNAcentral
AGAGUUUGAUCAUGGCUCAGGAUGAACGCUGGCGGCGUGCUUAACACAUGCAAGUCGAACGAACCUUCGGGUUAGUGGCGGACGGGUGAGUAACGCGUGAGAAUCUGCCCUCAGGAGGGGGAUAACGGUUGGAAACGACCGCUAAUACCCCAUAUGCCGAAAGGUGAAAUGAAUUUCGCCUGAGGAUGAGCUCGCGUCUGAUUAGCUAGUUGGUGUGGUAAUGGCUCACCAAGGCUUCGAUCAGUAGCUGGUCUGAGAGGAUGAUCAGCCACGCUGGGACUGAGACACGGCCCAGACUCCUACGGGAGGCAGCAGUGGGGAAUUUUCCGCAAUGGGCGAAAGCCUGACGGAGCAACGCCGCGUGAGGGACGAAGGCCUCUGGGCUGUAAACCUCUUUUCUCAAGGAAGAAGAUAUGACGGUACUUGAGGAAUAAGCCACGGCUAAUUCCGUGCCAGCAGCCGCGGUAAUAC